GUCCACGCCGUAAACGAUGAGUGCUAGGUGCUGUGGGUAUUGACCCCCGCGGUGCCGCAGCUAACGCGUUAAGCACUCCGCCUGGGGAGUACGGCCGCAAGGCUAAAACUCAAAGGAAUUGACGGGGGCCCGCACAAGCGGUGGAGCAUGUGGUUCAAUUCGACGCAACGCGCAGAACCUUACCUGGGUUAAAUCCACCAGAAUCUUCCAGAGAUGGAGGGGUGCCCUUCGGGGAACUGGUGAGAAGGUGCUGCAUGGCUGUCGU
Molecule: ribosomal RNA, 265 nt
Filed under: uncultured bacterium
Lineage: Bacteria
Description: partial 16S ribosomal RNA
Rfam family: Bacterial small subunit ribosomal RNA
Source: RNAcentral